UUUUCAGAUGGUUUCUGUAAAAAAUGAAAGUGGCCGCAUCCGUGUUCAUCAUCAACCUUUAUAUAUGUUUUGUAUUUUUAUCAAAUACAACUUACAUUUCAAUAUUAUGAAUGAACACGAAUGCGGCCACUUUCAUUUUAGAUGGAAACCGUCUAAAAA
Molecule: small RNA, 159 nt
Filed under: Mytilus galloprovincialis (Mediterranean mussel)
Lineage: Eukaryota; Metazoa; Mollusca; Bivalvia; Mytilida; Mytilidae
Source: RNAcentral